This 773-nucleotide long non-coding RNA is filed under the name Ovis aries (sheep). Its description in RNAcentral is "lncRNA (ENSOARG00000026740.1)". The record is from RNAcentral. Lineage: Eukaryota; Metazoa; Chordata; Mammalia; Artiodactyla; Bovidae.
AUGUUCUUCACCUUCACAGUCCCCGUCACUGUUCGCUCCUGCAAAGAGCAGUUCUCCAGGCAGACAGAGAGACAGGAGAAAUACACCUCCGGGAGUCCAGAGGCAAAACCUAAAGACAACGGCCUCCCGCCGUUCAGCAGGUGCGACCCACUAUCAUCUACAGAGAACAGGGGCACUCCGUCCCCCCUCGCCGGGGUCGGGGACGUCUCCCAACGACCCCCACCAGUGACUCGUCGGCGCGUCCGCCUGAGUCGUAUACCGGUCUCAGAAAAUAGGCCCUGUCAGAAACGAAAAGAAAGACAGAAAAAAGCUUACCGGCUGCAGAUGAUUCUCCAGAUCGGUCUUCCCAUGGAGCCGGUGGGAGAUCCCAGACGAGCCCCCAAAUGUUAUGCUCAAGUCGCGAAAUCUCCCAAUGACCACCAGGGAACCGAUAUCCAAUGCAAAAGCAAGAGAGUUUUUAUUACCAAGCUCGAGCUGGUGCUCCCACCGAUACCUUCACAGCGGCCAUAGGGAGGAGCCCCGGGUUUUGGAUUACAUUGCUUAUAUAGGGAGUAUACAUGGGAAAAAAAAGGAUUUCUAGGUAGGGGAACAUCUGAUUGGUCACUUUCUUUCGAAGGUUGUGUGUUGGUUCUUGAUUGGUCCCUAUUGUCUAGCUAGACCACAAGUUCCUGAGCGUUCAGUUCAGUUUAGUUGCUCAGUCGUGUCCAACUCUUUGCAACCCCAUGAAUCGCAGCACGCCAGGCCUCCCUGUUCAUCACCAACUCCCGGAGUUC